This 272-nucleotide ribosomal RNA is filed under the name uncultured soil bacterium. Its description in RNAcentral is "partial 16S ribosomal RNA". It matches the Rfam family "Bacterial small subunit ribosomal RNA", at positions 26 to 282 of the family's 1533-position model. The record is from RNAcentral.
AGAAUCAACGCUGGCGGCGUGCCUCAGACAUGCAAGUCGAACGCGAAAGUCCCUUUCGGGGGGCAAGUAGAGUGGCGCACGGGUGAGUAACACGUAGGUAAUCUACCUUUGGAUGGGGAAUAACAACCGGAAACGGUUGCUAAUACCGCAUAAUGCAGCGGCACCUAAUGGUGACAGUUGUUAAAGCGGGGGAUCGAAAGACCUCGCGUCUGAAGAGGAGCCUGCGGCGGAUUAGCUAGUUGGUAAGUAACGGCUUACCAAGGCUACGAUCC